Molecule: ribosomal RNA, 251 nt
Filed under: uncultured bacterium
Lineage: Bacteria
Also listed under: 1 other name
Description: partial 16S ribosomal RNA
Rfam family: Bacterial small subunit ribosomal RNA
Source: RNAcentral
ACGUAGGGGGCGAGCGUUACCCGGAAUCACUGGGCGUAAAGGGAGCGUAGGUGGCCUAACAUGUCAACUGUGAAAACCCGGAGCUCAACUCCGGACUUGCAGUUGAAACUGGUAGGCUUGAGGACGGUAGAGGAAGACGGAACUGCCAGUGUAGGGGUAAAAUCCUUAGAUAUUGGCAGGAACGCCGGUGACGAAGGUGGUUUUCUGGGCCGGUUCUGACACUGAUGCUCGAAAGCCAGGGGAGCGAACGG